Poecilia latipinna (sailfin molly) is the source of this 1640-nucleotide long non-coding RNA. RefSeq lists it as uncharacterized. The record is from RefSeq and is a predicted model, not a curated record. NCBI's taxonomy places the organism in Eukaryota, Metazoa, Chordata, Actinopteri, Cyprinodontiformes, Poeciliidae. The transcript is spliced from 3 exons.
UUUAUCGAUCAAAAAUCAUCUCAGUAAAACUUGCUGAACGUUGUGGAUGAACUUUAACAGUAUGUGGAAAAGUCUGUUUCCAUGGUAACGUCCAGACUCGGUCAGAACCGGCACUUUUAGCACGCAUUUGUGUUGGUGAUAAAAACUGAAAUCAGGAAUCUGUAGCAUCUAUAAAUAACCACAACCUUUCAACUAAAAUUAAUUUUAGUGAAAAAGCAAUGAUCUGCAGAUAUUGACAAAAAGCCAAAAGAGCCAAUCAGCUUUAAUCAAAGUGACCUUUAGUAGCCCGGUGAUGUGCCUGCAGGGACAAACCACUGACUCACAUUUCAAGAAUUUAGAGCAGAUUUUUUAAAUCAGACUUAUCUUGGUUGUUAUAUUUAGAGCCACGUUGUGGACUGAAGUCCUGAUAACUCGUCUAAUUGUUCAGCAGCGUAUGUGAACCAGGAGGGGGCGCUCUGACUGCUGGGCAGGAAAGAUCAGCUCUCUGCUGCAGCCAAACGGGAUUCUGAGUUCAUGCGAGUUGUGAAUUUCUCCUUCUUUAUAUAUAGCCUCAAGAUGCUUCUCUUACAUCAGCCAUCUGUUCAGCAAUCAAACAGCCAAAUCCACUGAUCUGAGCGAGAUCCUCCAUGACAGGCACACACAGCGAUGUGUCAUACAUGCUUUUUUAGAGUUUAAACCUACUCAAGCUCACUAAUUGUGUUUAAUGUCCAUGUUUAAUCAGGCCAUUCAUCAUUUGAGCUGACAUAAGGGAACGUAAAAAAAAAGAUUUCUGUAUCAAAAGAUAAUAAUAGAAACCUUCAUGUGAAAAAAACAUGAAAGUUUCUGUUUGAAGGAGACAUUUCCAUUCAGAAUCACCUCAAAAUGUUCUUGCAGACUCCAUGAUGUUUGACCUGAGAGCAGGUUGAACAUUCAGAGCAGCUCAGCAGGAAGACAGAAAAACGUUGGCAGCCUUUAUUUUCCUCCCAGGAAAGACAGUGAGCUUCUAAAAUAAUUAAAGCAGGACUAAAACCGACAGUCUGGAGAUAAAAGGUGCCGUGAAGAGCUUGAUGUGUGGCGUCAUGGCAGAUCAUCCUCCUGUGAACGGACCAGCGCUCAUUUUUUGAAGUCCUGCAGGGCGACACGGUGCAGCCGGGAGUGGUUACAGAAACGACAGCGAGUCUGAACUGAACCCGACAACACCAUCAGAACCGCAGAGCCCAGGUUCUGCAGGAGGAGAACAGGCUGGACGUGAAAACAGUGGUGGAUAAUCCAACCACAUAAACCAAACAGGAAAUGUUUUCAUGCUGCAAUUAUGACAAAAUACUGACAACAAGGAACAGGAAUAAAAAAAGUCAGACUGCUGCAGCUGCAGGAUCAGCACAGAAAACUAGGCUCUGCAUUCAGCAGGGAAACAUGCAGGAAACAUGCUUCAUUCCCUCUGACUGAAAGGAAGUGUCGACACAUCGAUUUAAUCCAGUCUGUAAGCAGCAGCAACUUCCAGCUGGAACCUGCAGAACCAACAGACAGGAAGUUGGUUCUGUGUGUUUAUGAGCCAGAGACCCAAAACCACCAGGAAGAGUCACCAGAGGAACCAGCUGCCUUCACUGACAGUUUUCCAGCCACUCUGUGAGCUUCAGCUUCUGUCAGCAUGAAGUUCAUAC